UUUCCUUUUUUUCUUCUUCCCUUCGUUCCUUAUUUCCUCCCGAGCCCUUCUCUUCUUCUUCACCGUGACACCACGAUUCCUUCUCCUGGACUCAUCACCGCCGGCCGAAGCUCCUCUUCCUCCUCUUCCUUUCCGAGUCACACCACCGAGCUCUCCCUUCUUCAUCGCGUCGCUACCUCUUCCUUCCUCCUCAGAAUCCAAGCUUCCCUCUCCCGAUCGGCUGCUUGUGCCCUAGCUCCAGAUCAGUCGCCUCUCCCUCAGCCGACUCUCCUGCCCUCUACUCAAGCAUCGCUGACCUUGACUCCAAGGUCCACGAUUGGCCAGUCGAACCCUAGGUCUGUUCCCUGAGCGUCGAUUGCCUUCCCUCUGCCUAGCUCCUGAUCCUCUACCGACCAGAGUUGGACUUUUCCCUAUUCGCUAGCCACGAGGAAGACACAGGUGGUAACCAUCCCAACCACAGUACCUACUGCCGUCGUGCCCUAGAUCGCCGGCGUGAGGAGGUGUUUGGGAAUCCGAGGAUACCCGAUAGAUAUAUGUGGAGUCGCUUGGAGUAUCCUGUCUGCCAGUCCUGGGUCACAUCCGAAGACCCGUUUUAUGGUUUCAUUUGUACUUUAUUUGUUUACUGUAUUAAAUGUGCUUAGCGUUGUAUUUUUUCCAGAUUUGAUUUCUAAAUCAUUGUGAUGUGGUGUUUUGUGUUGUUGGAUGUGUUGUGUAAGCCUAGCCGGCUAGUAAUCUUGUUUUUGGUUUGUAUGAUUUUCUAUCAUUUUUUUGUCGUGUU
Zingiber officinale is the source of this 778-nucleotide long non-coding RNA. RefSeq lists it as uncharacterized. NCBI's taxonomy places the organism in Eukaryota, Viridiplantae, Streptophyta, Magnoliopsida, Zingiberales, Zingiberaceae. The record is from RefSeq and is a predicted model, not a curated record. The transcript has 2 exons.